UCAGGACGAACGCUGGCGGCGUGCUUCAUACAUGCAAGUCGAACGAGAAUCUCACUUCGGUGAGAGGAAAGUGGCGGACGGGUGAGUAAUGUGUAGAGAAUCUGCCCUAGAGUGAGGGACAACAGAGGGAAACUUCUGCUAAUACCUCAUAUGCGCGUAGCUGAGAUGCUAUUCGUGAAAACUCCGGUGCUCUGGGAUGAGUCUGCAUCUGAUUAGCUAGUUGGGGGUGUAAUGGACCACCAAGGCGACGAUCAGUAGCUGGUUUGAGAGGAUGAUCAGCCACAAUGGGACUGAGACACGGCCCAUACUCCUACGGGAGGCAGCAGUAGGGAAUUUUGCGCAAUGGGGGAAACCCUGACGCAGCAACGCCGCGUGAACGAAAAAGCCCUUCGGGGUGUAAAGUUCUGUCAGUGGGGACGAAACUUGACGGUACCCACAGAGGAAGCAUCGGCUAACUCCGUGCCAGCCGCCGC
This 473-nucleotide ribosomal RNA is filed under the name uncultured bacterium. Its description in RNAcentral is "bacterial SSU rRNA". It matches the Rfam family "Bacterial small subunit ribosomal RNA", at positions 24 to 518 of the family's 1533-position model. The record is from RNAcentral.